Molecule: long non-coding RNA, 1502 nt
Filed under: Cyanistes caeruleus (blue tit)
Lineage: Eukaryota; Metazoa; Chordata; Aves; Passeriformes; Paridae
Description: lncRNA (ENSCCEG00000004803.1)
Source: RNAcentral
CCUGGAUAUUGUGGAGGACUCUGUAUUUUAUGGAAAUCCCAUUAGAAUGCAAUGAAAGACUUUUUAAAUUAAAUAAUUGCUUUAUAAAACCUAGCAAACUUUAUGUUCCAGGUUUGUCAACCAAAUGGACCUCAGCCAGAGGAGUGAGAGGGAGUGAACCAAACUGAGAGCUGGUGUAAAUGGGCCCAACUUGCACAUUCUUUUUGAACUUGACCAACACAUGCAGAUACCUGAUGUAUUACUUCAUCAGCAAAUUCAACAAGGCCAGGAUGUCUUCAUUUCCUUCAGAGCAAGAGCAGUAAGAGCAGUGUGGUGGAAGUAUUGGUCUUGUGUGGCCAGCCGGCGAGAGCCAUCAGCAGCUGUGAUGAGCAGAGCAGACAUGGGAGACAGGAGGCAGCUCAAGCCAAAGAGGACCCACGCCUGGAGCUGUGUCUGUGUGAUUGGAGCAGAGAGAGGCCAGGACCCAAGGAAAUCCCAGCAGCAAGGGAAAAAAACAGAUUGACUCUCAGUGACUCAUUUAGCUCCUGGAUUGGACAGAUCUCUCCCCUGCUGGCAAUUUGGCUGAGCAUCAAUGGACAGAUACCAGGAUGAAUAGCUUAAAAUAAUUAGGGGUUGGGAAUUUGCAAAACUGCUAGCCAUCCAAUUCUUUACUGUGCAAUGUGAGGCAGAAAAAAAGAAAUUACAUUUAGGUUAUUAAAUAUUAAGUCAGUGGAUUUACUUCCAUUUGGUGCAGAACAGGAAACUGGCUAAAAUUCAACAUUUAUAUCAUUGUGUUGAUGGUCUGUUUAUCACUGAGCAAGUAAGUGCCUUUUGGCAGGUCAAGCUCUUUGACACAUGGGGCAAAUGUGUGCUUAAUUUCUCUCAAACAGAAGAAUUAAUAUAAUAAUAAUUAACACAGAUGAGAACAGAAUUAAAAUCAAGUACAGUCAAGAGUUCAGUUUAAUGCCAGGUGUCUCACAUUCUAAAUGUUCUGGGGCCAGAUUUUUCCUGUUGAAGGUAGCAAGGAUUUUUGCCUUUGUCACUUAUGGGAGCUGAAGUGGGCCUUGGAUGUAGAGAGACAGGAUUCCCUGUACUUUCUAUUUAAUGCACAAAACCAGAAGCAACAGGCUCAUUUAGUAUCAGUAAAGGUCAGUUAAAAUUAUAGAGACAUCCUUUGGAGCAAAUCCUCUGCCUUGUAUUUGCAUAUUUAUGAAUUAGAGAUUACGACAGGCUAUUUCAUUUAUUAGAGCAGCACUGCUAUAGUUAAUAGUCUGUCAGUAUUUCCAUUAUAAACCCCGUUUUUCAGUGUUUAAUAUCUCAGCCAUUUAAAAUCACAUCAGGAAGCAGCUUGGUCUUAUGUUGCUGGCCAGGUGCAUUUUUUUGUUAUGGAUUAUUUUCGAUAAUGAAAUACUGCUCAUCAUAUAUGCAGAUGAGCCACAGCAUUUCUGUUGGAGGGACAUAGAAAGGUGUGUAAAUUCAUUGUGGCUUUGUUUUUCUUUAGGAAAGAAGGGAAAAGGGGGAUU